Molecule: ribosomal RNA, 492 nt
Filed under: uncultured bacterium
Lineage: Bacteria
Description: partial 16S ribosomal RNA
Rfam family: Bacterial small subunit ribosomal RNA
Source: RNAcentral
AGUGAACGCUGGCGGCAGGCCUAACACAUGCAAGUCGAGCGGAUGAAGGGAGCUUGCUCCUUCAUUCAGCGGCGGACGGGUGAGUAAUUCCUAAGAACCUCCCUGUUUAUGGUUUAUAAGGUCCGGACAUGGGCGCUAAUACCGCAUUCGUCCAUACGAAGUACGGGGGGAAUCUUCGGACCUUCCGCCCUCAGAUGAUCCUAUGUCGCUAUGUCGAAUUAGCUAGUUGGUGGGGUAAAGGCCCACCAAGGCGACGAUCCGUAGCUGGUCUGAGAGGAUGAUCAGUCACACUGGAACUGAGACACGGUCCAGACUCCUACGGGAGGCAGCAGUGGGGAAUAUUGGACAAUGGGCGAAAGCCUGAUCCAGCCAUGCCGCGUGUGUGAAGAAGGUCUUCGGAUUGUAAAGCACUUUAAGUUGGGAGGAAGGGCAGUAAGUUAAUACCUUGCUGUUUUGACGUUACCAACAGAAUAAGCACCGGCUAACUUCGUG